AACUAAGUUUGUUCUUGGUAUGAGCUUUUGUGUGCAUGCACAUGUGUAUCUGAAGAAGUGUGCAUGCACAUGAAAGCUCAUACCAAGAACAAACUUAGUUGG
Podarcis lilfordi (Lilford's wall lizard) is the source of this 102-nucleotide non-coding RNA. The record is from the annotation of a GenBank genome assembly. Lineage: Eukaryota; Metazoa; Chordata; Lepidosauria; Squamata; Lacertidae.